UACGAAGGGGGCUAGCGUUGUUCGGAAUUACUGGGCGUAAAGCGUGCGCAGGCGGCUUCUCAAGUCAGGGGUGAAAGCCCAGAGCUCAACUCUGGAAUUGCCUUUGAGACUGAGUGGCUUGAGUACGAGAGAGGUGAGUGGAAUUCCCAGUGUAGAGGUGAAAUUCGUAGAUAUUCGCAAGAACACCAGUGGCGAAGGCGGCUCACUGGCCCGGUACUGACGCUGAGGCGCGACAGCGUGGGGAGCAAACAGG
Molecule: ribosomal RNA, 253 nt
Filed under: uncultured bacterium
Lineage: Bacteria
Description: partial 16S ribosomal RNA
Rfam family: Bacterial small subunit ribosomal RNA
Source: RNAcentral